CAGUAGCCGCGGGAAUACGAAGGGUGCAAGCGUUACUCGGAAUUACUGGGCGUAAAGCGUGCGUAGGUGGUGGUUUAAGUCCGUUGUGAAAGCCCUGGGCUCAACCUGGGAAUUGCAGUGGAUACUGGACCACUAGAGUGUGGUAGAGGAUAGUGGAAUUUCCGGUGUAGCAGUGAAAUGCGUAGAGAUCGGAAGGAACAUCUGUGGCGAAGGCGACUAUCUGGGCCAACACUGACACUGAGGCACGAAAGCGUGGGGAGCAAACAGGAUUAGAUACCCGCGUAGUCCCUGUCUCUUAUAA
Molecule: ribosomal RNA, 301 nt
Filed under: uncultured bacterium
Lineage: Bacteria
Description: partial 16S ribosomal RNA
Rfam family: Bacterial small subunit ribosomal RNA
Source: RNAcentral